UUGAUAUAUUGUAACCGCAAGAAUGUGUCAGACUCUCACCUGAGUGUAGGCCACGUAGUUUGCGGACGUACAGGGCGAAUAAACUCUCCAAGUGACAGUGGUACAAAGUAGGACAUGAUGCUCAGAGCUGUGGGGCUGUCGCUUCCCUCACUCUCCAUCACAUGGUAAAAUGCCAUCCUCCCCGGC
This is a long non-coding RNA of Sinocyclocheilus grahami, 186 nucleotides long. RefSeq lists it as uncharacterized. Lineage: Eukaryota; Metazoa; Chordata; Actinopteri; Cypriniformes; Cyprinidae. The transcript is spliced from 3 exons. The record is from RefSeq and is a predicted model, not a curated record.